This 1704-nucleotide ribosomal RNA is filed under the name Triticum aestivum (bread wheat). RNAcentral describes it as "partial small subunit ribosomal RNA". The record is from RNAcentral. Lineage: Eukaryota; Viridiplantae; Streptophyta; Magnoliopsida; Poales; Poaceae.
AUGCAAGCCGAGGAAGACGCCGAGUUCGUGGGUGCGCGGGUGGAGGCCGGCCUCCGCGCCGCCCGCUUCUCCUCGCCGCCGUCGUCGGAGGAGUUCGCAGCCUCCAUCGAGCCCAAGAACGUCCCCGCCGUAUUCCACGACGUGCUUAAUGGGUCAGCCGCCUCCUCUCGGUGGGAUCCUCUCCAUGGUGGCCUCGACUACUUGCUGGAGAAGGUGGGACCUGAUGUUGCUGUGGAAGCCAUGAUGUCGAGCACUGGGCACGUGUUCUACGGGGAUCUCAGAAGUCAUGAGAGGGUUUCUAUCCCAUUCUCCACAUUCAUGCACUCCUGCAAAUCUUACCUGGGGCAUCUGAAUGCUGCUGGUGAUUCAUCCAAAGAUAAGGCGAUUGAGGAGGAGCCAACUUGUUCAGAGGAAAUGUGCUCAGCUAUCUCGGAGAAUUCUGAGCAACUCUAUUUAGCGCAGGUGUCAAUCCUCAACACUGAGAACAAAGAGAGAUGCUCGUUAGAAGUUUUAAAAGUGGACAUUCAGGAGCCUAUAUUUCUGAAAGGAAAACCAUUUUCAUCAAUAAACUUCUGGAUGAGUAGGGCUCACAUGAGAUCAAGUACCCAUUAUGAUCCUCACCAUAACCUUCUCUGCGUGGUUGCUGGAUGCAAGAAAGUAACUUUGUGGUCUCCCUCCGCAUCCCCAUUUUUGUAUCCAAUGCCUGUAUACGGGGAGGCCUCCAACCAUAGCUGUGUCAGUAUUGAGGAACCAGACUAUUCAAGCUACACAAGAGCAAAGUACAUGAAGGAGUAUUCUGAAAGGGUUGUCCUAAAUUGUGGCGAUGCUCUUUUCAUACCAGAAGGAUGGUACAUCUUUUUGAACUAUUUUACACUGUAUCACCAAGUAGACAGUGAUGAUUUGACCAUAGCAAUUAAUUUUUGGUGGAAGUCAAGAAUAAUGACUGAAAUGUUAGAGCAUAUGGAUGCCUACUAUCUACGCCGAAUUUUAAGGAGAUUGGUGGAUACAGAGAUGGACAAAAUAGCGCAGAAAAAUUCCUUCAGUCAUGCGAAAGAAAACAACGGUUUUCAGCCUACAGACAAAGCAUUGAGAGGCUCUGAGCAAUUCAAUUUGCACAACGAGGUUAAAAGUCAUGAUACGUCUGACAAGAAAGGCGCAACUGAUACAUCUGACAAGAAAGGUGCACCAUUGCAAUCUUUGGAACCCAGCACCCUACAAGCGCUUUAUGAACUCAUGUCACUGGUUCAUGACAGUGUUGAAGCGGUUGACCAAAAUAACAUAGCAGAAUCUGCAUCUCAGGAUACAUCUUCCAGCCAAAGCAUUGAAAGAAAGAAGAUUGCUGCAGAUGAUUCAUCUCUCUUGGAGAAAGACCCUGUUGCAAAAAUCAUUUUGCCAGUUGAACCACUCGAGUUGCGGAGUAUGCUACUAGCAAUGGUGCAUACUUUCCCGAGGACAUUAGAAGGUUUAGUCCUCAACAUACUUGGACCUACAGGAGCAGAGAUACUGACUAGGAAGUUUGAUGAGAUGGAUCAACAAACCACAACAGAAGAACAGGCUAAGUUCUACAAGACAUUCUACACUGCGUUUGAUGACCAAUAUGCUGCAAUGGACGCACUUCUUAAUAGGAAGGAACUGUUUUCUUUCCAGGUGUUCCAGAGUGUCCUUGACCAAUAUCUGAGGGUGCAUGUUGAUCGGCCUAGCUAA